RNAcentral lists this unclassified non-coding RNA (254 nucleotides) under Colletotrichum sp. Its description in RNAcentral is "partial internal transcribed spacer region". The stretch from base 1 to 46 matches the Rfam family "Eukaryotic small subunit ribosomal RNA", at positions 1786 to 1831 of the family's 1831-position model. Lineage: Eukaryota; Fungi; Ascomycota; Sordariomycetes; Glomerellales; Glomerellaceae. The record is from RNAcentral. RNAcentral also lists the same sequence under 1 other name.
AAGUCGUAACAAGGUCUCCGUUGGUGAACCAGCGGAGGGAUCAUUAUCGAGUUACCGCUCUACAACCCUUUGUGAACAUACCUAACUGUUGCUUCGGCGGGCAGGGGGUCCCCCCGGGGACGCCCUCCCGGCCCCGCCCCCCUACCAGGGGACGUGGCGCCCGCCGGAGGAUACCUAACUCUAUUUUAACGACGUUUCUUCUGAGUGGCACAAGCAAAUAAUUAAAACUUUUAACAACGGAUCUCUUGGUUCUG